This 293-nucleotide ribosomal RNA is filed under the name uncultured bacterium. RNAcentral describes it as "partial 16S ribosomal RNA". It matches the Rfam family "Bacterial small subunit ribosomal RNA", at positions 505 to 796 of the family's 1533-position model. The record is from RNAcentral.
GUGUCAGCCGCCGCGGUAAGACGAACCGUGCGAACGUUAUUCGGAAUCACUGGGCUUAAAGCGCGUGUAGGCGGGCCAGCACGUCGGGCGCUGAAAUCCCCCGGCUCAACCGGGGAACGGGCACCGAUACGACUGGCCUGGAGGGGAGUAGGGGGACCUGGAACUUCCGGUGGAGCGGUGAAAUGCGUUGAGAUCGGAAGGAACGCCCGUGGCGAAAGCGAGGUCCUGGGCUCUUACUGACGCUGAGACGCGAAAGCCAGGGGAGCGAACGGGAUUAGAUACCCUUGUAGUCC